CUGGAAUGGUGUUUACCGGCCAAGUCUCCUGAUUAGACGCGAAGAGCAGGUGGCAAUAGGAGGCCGGAAAGAACUUUCGCGCAAACUAGAAGGGCGAGUCGAGGACUGAGGGAACGGCAGUUUGUUGCAUAAGGACUGGAACUGCCUUGGAUAAUAACCAACACUUAAAUUGGAGAAGAAAAAUGAAACUUCAAGGAUUUCAUGGGACACACAAUGGCAAUUGAAGCUUAUUUACCAUAACACCUGGACCACUUCGAGGGAUUGAAAUGGAUGAUAAGAAACCAUAUUGUAUUAUUCAGAUAUAGUUGUGUGGAAGAACAUGAAUUGAAAGAACAAAGCGUGCAAUGAUGAAUGACAAAAACAAAAUUGAAUAUAAGAUUGGCUUUUUCCACUUCAGAUUCAAAAGCAAACAGCAGAGAAAUGGACAAAGGCAGUUCUUCCAAACCAGGCACAAAAAAGAUUUCCCAUUAAAUGGGAAUGAGAUAAAAUGAAAACUGAUCUAGAGGAAGAAAGCUUGCAAACUUGUAUGAACACCUUGAAGUGCUAGAACCUGCAGCCAGUUUCUUGGAGAAACUGAUUAUAUAAUCCAGAUUGCUAUAUUGGAGCAUUUAUUGAGGAUAAAUAUUAUCUCUUUCCAUCUGAGAUCUUUUCCUUGGACACAGUUUCUGUAAACUCAUAGAAUCAUCUACUGUAAUGUCCUUCCUGUUAAAGACUACUUCAGCUUUAAUUGUAACAAUACAAGAGCAACCAACAGAUUUAAACUUAAUGUUAACCGCUUUAAUCUAGAUUGCAGAAAAUAUGACUUCUGUAACAGAAUCAUCAGUGCUUGGAAUACUUUACCUGACUCUGUGGUCUCUUCCCAUAAUCCUAAAAGCUUCAACCAAAAACUUUCUACUAUUGACCUUACCCCAUUCCUAAGAGGACCAUAAGGGGCGUGCAUAAGCGCACAAACGUGCCUACCGUUCCUGUCCUAUUGUUUUUGUUUUUGUUUUUGUUUUCUUUUCUUUUCUUCUUCCUAUAUAUAUAUAUUGAUGCUUAUACCUCCUAAUAUUUACUCAUAUAUAUGUUUAUAUACUAUAUAAUCCUUUUUAUAUGAUGUUGUG
Molecule: long non-coding RNA, 1103 nt
Organism: Ahaetulla prasina
Lineage: Eukaryota; Metazoa; Chordata; Lepidosauria; Squamata; Colubridae
Exons: 3
Source: RefSeq, a predicted model, not a curated record